This 1116-nucleotide long non-coding RNA is filed under the name Anas platyrhynchos platyrhynchos (common mallard). RNAcentral's name for it is "lncRNA (ENSAPLG00000029193.1)". Lineage: Eukaryota; Metazoa; Chordata; Aves; Anseriformes; Anatidae. The record is from RNAcentral.
AUGUGGUUUGGGUGCGCACCUGGCCAGGUGCGGGGGGAGGCGGCCGGCCAGGCCCCCUGCCCCGGCUGCAGGGCUCCCGUCCCCAGCCAAGCAGCCCGAAGCCUAAUUCCGUAUCAAAGCAGAUAUCUGCCCCCCCACCACCACCCCCCAAAACACACAGCGCCCCAUCCCAUCGGGGCGAGCAACCAACGACAACAACCAAACAAAACAUUGCCCAAACAAAAAGCCCCGAGCCCCGGCUCUCUGCAGAGCCACACAUUGAAUGAAUCUGCCUGUAAGGUUUUAAUUACAGCGAAGCCUUCGCUACAAAUCUGUACAAGAGACAGUGGCUGGUUCCCUCUGGAUCCUUCCCCUUCUGACUCCCAUUAUUUUGACCCACGCUACAGCACAGAGAGCGGCGUGUGUGAUCCAGCUGCGGGGCUGGGCUGGGGUUUACCCCCCCGCCCCCGCCUCCCUGCCACUUCCUUCACACUCGCGGUACGGAAAGCCAUCGACGCCUGCCUGUCUGUUAUAAUCCAGCGGCUGGAAAGCCGGAGGAGCCUCCGCUCCCGCUCUUUGCGCUGGCAGCGCUCUUAUUCCCCAGCCUCUCCUCCAAACAGCUCGCUCGCAGCCUGGGGAGGUGCCCUCCUUGUGCUCGCCUGUCGAGGCGGCGGCGAUGCGGCAUGCUGGCCGUGUGUUUUGGGGGCAAACAGGCUUGAGAGAGAGAGGGAAAGGGAGAAAAAAAAUAAUAAUAACGCCAUCUGCGGAUGCGGGGCGAGGCGUUUGGGUUUGGCCCCUCCGGGCUGCAAAAGACGCGGGGCAGCUCCCCGCGCAAUUCUGCGGGGGGGGGCGCUCCAAAAACCGGCUCGGCAGAGAAAUGCCUCCGGGAGGGAUGCUCCCUGGCUUUGCGCCCCUCCUGGGAUUUCCCCACCGCCGCCGCCACCACUUUACUGGGGACCCCGGCUCCGAGCGCCUCUCGCUCCCUUUGUUCCUUCGGUUCUGGUGCUAAAAAAAUCAAGGGGCAAGGCAACCCCCGGCCACGCAGACAACUUUCAGCAUUUCCGCGUCCCUUUGAAAAUCGAACAGCAAGGUCUGCCUCGGGCAUGUGCGUGGGGUUCCCGCGGAAACAAAAAAUAA